AUGCAGCUUGUGUGUUCAGCUGUGACAAAGAGUUAACGGGGGCCCACAAUACUCAGGGGGAUUAAUUGGAUAAACAGUUCUGAGUAAGGGUGAUAAAACAGGAUUAGAGUGUGCUAGCAUAGCUCAAAAAUCCUCACCAAAAGGCUGCCAAGGCAGAUAAGCACCAUCCAUGUUUGGUAAGAUCCGGCAUCAGACUUCACCAGGCAGUUGGAAUCGCUUGUCAGAACAGGUCAGAAGUCUUUCCCACCUCCUGUAAGCUCUGACAAGUUUGUAAGUACUCCAUCCUCAGCUUAGUUUGCUCAGACAGACAGCAGGCUCAAAAUAGCAGUCACUAAAUUAGAGGCUGGGUUAAGAUCCUUUGAAAAUCUGGAUCUGGAAUCAUGGCAAGUUUAGUUUAGAUUGUCAUCUUGUUAACCCUGUUCAGGGAGUACAGGUUAUUGGUUUAUCACCAGUCUCUCUCUGGGCUCUGGAAAACAAUGCCCUAUUGUGACUUGUUAACCCUAUAUAUUCCAAGUUCUUUUCACUGCAGAUGGAUUUCUGGUUCUUACCACACGUGCUUAUAAACUCAAUUAAAAAAACACUGAAAGAUGCCAACUCUCUUCACCAGACAGGAAGAAACAAACACAGAGAAAUAUAUUUCAGCAUCAAAAGAAGCUGCGGAAAUCUAGAUCAGGACUGACAUCAGCCCUAGCAAACCCUAUUAAUCAGAAAGUAGGAAGACUCAGAAAUUUUCCUCCAGGACACGCUGGUUCAGCAUGCAAAAGUACCAAAUAUGCCCUCAUAGUUUGACAUGAUUUGACUUUGAGAUGAAUGUGGGUGUCAGACAAUCAAGAUAACGAGAAUACUACCACCAUGAAAGUUUUGCCUUCACCAUGUACCACCCAUUCUAGCAAGAACUGUUGCAGAGAUACUGUACAGGAUUGCACUUUUCUGCACUGAGACCUACAAAUAUGACCUGACAUUGUAGAAACAAUUUCAUAGUAUCCAGUGAAGCAUAAUCAGACAAGGAAUUGCCAGAGGAUAGUGAAAGUGAUGAAAAGACUGACAUGGACAAUAAUGUGUAAUGCAUGUAUGUGCGGCAAGACAACACAUUAAGAAAUUUCCAAGAAUAUAUGCAUGAACUUACUGCAAAAAGCAUGUCCGCACAUAUAUUUUAGUGAAUACAGUGACUAUUUACAACUAGUUUAAUUUUGUUCAUUGUAAUUGUCCUACUUGGAUAUAUCAUAAAAAUAUAAGACAGAUGCCUUAAUAUCUUAAUUUUAACUUACACAUGUUUACAUUCACAUAUCUUUGUUGUUUUCAUGAAGAUCACAACUUAUGUUGCAAUUGACAGGCCUUUACCUGAUUUUAAACAAAAUGGAAGAAAUCAAACAUUCAUUUUCUUACC
This is a long non-coding RNA of Mauremys mutica (yellowpond turtle), 1387 nucleotides long. RefSeq lists it as uncharacterized. Lineage: Eukaryota; Metazoa; Chordata; Testudines; Geoemydidae. The record is from RefSeq and is a predicted model, not a curated record. The transcript is spliced from 3 exons.